This 72-nucleotide transfer RNA is filed under the name Angiostrongylus costaricensis. It matches the Rfam family "tRNA". From Rfam's summary of the family: Transfer RNA (tRNA) molecules are approximately 80 nucleotides in length. Their secondary structure includes four short double-helical elements and three loops (D, anti-codon, and T loops). The record is from Rfam by way of RNAcentral. Lineage: Eukaryota; Metazoa; Nematoda; Chromadorea; Rhabditida; Metastrongylidae.
GGCCGGAUGGUCUAAGGGUAUGAUUCUCGCUUUGGGUGCGAGAGGUCCCGGGUUAAAAUCCCGGUUGGCCCC